GCCGGCGUAGCUCAGUGGCUAGAGCGAGGGUCUCAUAAUCCCUAGGUCGCUGGUUCGAAUCCAGCCGCCGGCACCA
Molecule: transfer RNA, 76 nt
Filed under: Candidatus Solibacter sp.
Lineage: Bacteria; Pseudomonadati; Acidobacteriota; Terriglobia; Bryobacterales; Solibacteraceae
Description: tRNA-Met
Rfam family: tRNA
About the family: Transfer RNA (tRNA) molecules are approximately 80 nucleotides in length.
Source: RNAcentral